GGAUCCAGACUUUGAUCUGGCUCAGGAUGAACGCUAGCUACAGGCUUAACACAUGCAAGUCGAGGGGAAACGACAUCGAAAGCUUGCUUUUGAUGGGCGUCGACCGGCGCACGGGUGAGUAACGCGUAUCCAACCUGCCCACCACUUGGGGAUAACCUUGCGAAAGUAAGACUAAUACCCAAUGAUAUCUCUAGAAGACAUCUGAAAGAGAUUAAAGAUUUAUCGGUGAUGGAUGGGGAUGCGUCUGAUUAGCUUGUUGGCGGGGUAACGGCCCACCAAGGUAACGAUCAGUAGGGGUUCUGAGAGGAAGGUCCCCCACAUUGGAACUGAGACACGGUCCAAACUCCUACGGGAGGCAGCAGUGAGGAAUAUUGGUCAAUGGGCGAGAGCCUGAACCAGCCAAGUAGCGUGCAGGAUGACGGCCCUAUGGGUUGUAAACUGCUUUUAUAAGGGAAUAAAGUGAGUCUCGUGAGACUUUUUGCAUGUACCUUAUGAAUAAGGACCGGCUAAUUCCGUGCCAGCAGCCGCGGUAAUACGGAAGGUCCGGGCGUUAUCCGGAUUUAUUGGGUUUAAAGGGAGCGUAGGCCGGAGAUUAAGCGUGUUGUGAAAUGUAGACGCUCAACGUCUGCACUGCAGCGCGAACUGGUUUCCUUGAGUACGCACAAAGUGGGCGGAAUUCGUGGUGUAGCGGUGAAAUGCUUAGAUAUCACGAAGAACUCCGAUUGCGAAGGCAGCUCACUGGAGCGCAACUGACGCUGAAGCCCGAAAGUGCGGGUAUCGAACAGGAUUAGAUACCCUGGUAGUCCGCACGGUAAACGAUGGAUGCCCGCCGUUGGUCUGAAUAGGUCAGCGGCCAAGCGAAAGCAUUAAGCAUCCCACCUGGGGAGUACGCCGGCAACGGUGCAACUCAAAGGAAUUGACGG
This 923-nucleotide ribosomal RNA is filed under the name uncultured Bacteroidota bacterium. RNAcentral's name for it is "bacterial SSU rRNA". It matches the Rfam family "Bacterial small subunit ribosomal RNA", at positions 1 to 916 of the family's 1533-position model. Lineage: Bacteria; Pseudomonadati; Bacteroidota. The record is from RNAcentral.